RNAcentral lists this ribosomal RNA (465 nucleotides) under uncultured bacterium. Its description in RNAcentral is "partial 16S ribosomal RNA". It matches the Rfam family "Bacterial small subunit ribosomal RNA", at positions 28 to 507 of the family's 1533-position model. The record is from RNAcentral.
GACGAACGCUGGCGGCGUGCUUAACACAUGCAAGUCGAACGGAAAGGCCCCUUUGGGGGUACUCGAGUGGCGAACGGGUGAGUAACACGUGAGUAACCUGCCCUUGACUUCGGGAUAACUUCAGGAAACUGGGGCUAAUACCGGAUAGGAAUCCUUGCUGCAUGGUGGGGGUUGGAAAGCUUCGGCGGUUUUGGAUGGACUCGUGGCUUAUCAGCUUGUUGGUGGGGUAGUGGCUUACCAAGGCUUUGACGGGUAGCCGGCCUGAGAGGGCGACCGGCCACAUUGGGACUGAGAUACGGCCCAGACUCCGACGGGAGGCAGAAGGGGGGAAUAUUGCACAAGGGGCGGAAGCCUGAUGCAGCAACGCCGCGGGCGGGAUGACGGCCUUCGGGUUGAAAACCGCUUUCAGCAGGGGCGAAGCUUGUGGUGACGGUACCUGCAGAAGAAGCACCGGCUAACUACGUG